Molecule: ribosomal RNA, 484 nt
Filed under: uncultured bacterium
Lineage: Bacteria
Description: partial 16S ribosomal RNA
Rfam family: Bacterial small subunit ribosomal RNA
Source: RNAcentral
AUUGAACGCUGGCGGCAUGCUUUACACAUGCGAGUCGAACGGCAGCGCGGGCUUCGGCCUGGCGGCGAGUGGCGAACGGGUGAGUAAUGCAUCGGAACGUGCCCAGUAGUGGGGGAUAGCCCGUCGAAAGCCGGAUUAAUACCGCAUACGACCUGAGGGUGAAAGCGGGGGACCGAAAGGCCUCGCGCUAUUGGAGCGGCCGAUGUCGGAUUAGCUAGUUGGUGGGGUAAAGGCUUACCAAGGCGACGAUCCGUAGCUGGUCUGAGAGGACGACCAGCCACACUGGGACUGAGACACGGCCCAGACUCCUACGGGAGGCAGCAGUGGGGAAUGUUGGACAAUGGGGGCAACCCUGAUCCAGCCAUGCCGCGUGCGGGAAGAAGGCCUUCGGGUUGUAAACCGCUUUUGUUCGGGAAGAAAUCCUCUGGGCUAAUACCCCGGGGGGAUGACGGUACCGGAAGAAUAAGCACCGGCUAACUACGUG